ACGAAAGCACGCAAGAGUGCAGUGUGGGUCAGCCCUAUGGUCCCCAUAGCCCAAUGGUCCCACAGCCCAAUGGACCCACUGUCCUAUGGUCCCACUGUCCUAUGAUCCCACUG
Molecule: long non-coding RNA, 113 nt
Organism: Etheostoma cragini (Arkansas darter)
Lineage: Eukaryota; Metazoa; Chordata; Actinopteri; Perciformes; Percidae
Exons: 4
Source: RefSeq, a predicted model, not a curated record